Molecule: non-coding RNA, 107 nt
Organism: Gossypium hirsutum (cotton)
Lineage: Eukaryota; Viridiplantae; Streptophyta; Magnoliopsida; Malvales; Malvaceae
Source: Rfam
AAUCCAUGCAUCUGACAUUUCCGAAUUAAAUCUUUAAAUCAUCCCCAAGAAUCAUAUAAUGUUUCAUCCUCCAAUUAUCGAAAAAAUGUGAUGUCAUUUCUAAGCCU